This 497-nucleotide ribosomal RNA is filed under the name uncultured bacterium. RNAcentral describes it as "partial 16S ribosomal RNA". It matches the Rfam family "Bacterial small subunit ribosomal RNA", at positions 28 to 507 of the family's 1533-position model. The record is from RNAcentral.
GAUGAACGCUGGCGGUGUGCCUAAUACAUGCAAGUCGAGCGAACGGACGAGAAGCUUGCUUCUCAGAUGUUAGCGGCGGACGGGUGAGUAACAUGUUGAUAACCUACCUAUAAGACUGGGUUAACUUCGGGAAACCGUAGCUAAUACCGGAUAAUAUUUUGAACCGCAUGGUUCAAAAGUGAAAGACGAUCUUGCUGUCACUUAUAGAUUGAUCCGCGCUGCAUUAGGUAGUUGGUGAGGUAAGGGCUUACCGAGGCAACGAAUCAUAGCUGACCUGAGAUGGUGAUCAGCCGCACUGGAACUGAGACAAGGUCCAUGCGCAUACGGGAGGCGGCAGUAGGGAAUCGUGCGCAAGGGGCGAAGGCCUGACGGAGCAACGCGACGUGAGUGAUGAGGGUCUUCGGAUCGUUAAACUCUGUUAUUAGGGAAUGAAAUAUGUGUAAGUCACUGUGGAGAUCAUGACGGUACCUAAUCAGAAAGCCACGGCUAACUACGUG